This 253-nucleotide ribosomal RNA is filed under the name uncultured bacterium. RNAcentral's name for it is "partial 16S ribosomal RNA". It matches the Rfam family "Bacterial small subunit ribosomal RNA", at positions 524 to 776 of the family's 1533-position model. The record is from RNAcentral.
UACGGGGGGGGCAAGCGUUGUUCGGAAUUACUGGGCGUAAAGGGCUCGUAGGUGGCCAACUAAGUCAGACGUGAAAUCCCUCAGCUUAACUGGGGAACUGCGUCUGAUACUGGAUGGCUUGAGUUUGGGAGAGGGAUGCGGAAUUCCAGGUGUAGCGGUGAAAUGCGUAGAUAUCUGGAGGAACACCGGUGGCGAAGGCGGCAUCCUGGGCUAACACUGACGCUCAUGCACGAAAGCGUGGGGAGCAAACAGG